GACGAACGCUGGCGGCGUGCUUAACACAUGCAAGUCGAACGGUAAGGCUCCAGCUUGCUGGGGUACACGAGUGGCGAACGGGUGAGUAACACGUGGGUGACCUGCCCUGCACUUCGGGAUAAGCCUGGGAAACUGGGUCUAAUACCGGAUAGGACCAUGGUGUGGAUACUGUGGUGGAAAGUUUUUUCGGUGUGGGAUGGGCCCGCGGCCUAUCAGCUUGUUGGUGGGGUAAUGGCCUACCAAGGCGGCGACGGGUAGCCGGCCUGAGAGGGUGGACGGCCACAUUGGGACUGAGAGACGGCCCAGACUCCUACGGGAGGCAGCAGUGGGGAAUAUUGCACAAUGGGCGGAAGCCUGAUGCAGCGACGCCGCGUGGGGGAUGACGGCCUUCGGGUUGUAAACUCCUUUCACCAUCGACGAAGGGUUUCUGACGGUAGAUGGAGAAGAAGCACCGGCUAACUACGUG
RNAcentral lists this ribosomal RNA (466 nucleotides) under uncultured bacterium. Its description in RNAcentral is "partial 16S ribosomal RNA". It matches the Rfam family "Bacterial small subunit ribosomal RNA", at positions 28 to 507 of the family's 1533-position model. The record is from RNAcentral.